This 259-nucleotide ribosomal RNA is filed under the name uncultured bacterium. RNAcentral's name for it is "partial 16S ribosomal RNA". It matches the Rfam family "Bacterial small subunit ribosomal RNA", at positions 113 to 353 of the family's 1533-position model. The record is from RNAcentral.
ACACGUAAACAACCUGCCUUCAGGAUGGGGACAACAGACGGAAACGACUGCUAAUACCGAAUAAGUUCCAAGAGCCGCAUGGCCCAUGGAAGAAAUGGUGGCCUCUACCUGUAAGCUAUCGCCUGAAGAGGGGUUUGCGUCUGAUUAGCUGGUUGGAGGGGUAACGGCCCACCAAGGCGACGAUCAGUAGCCGGUCUGAGAGGAUGAACGGCCACACUGGAACUGAGACACGGUCCAGACUCCUACGGGAGGCAGCAUG